This 168-nucleotide ribosomal RNA is filed under the name Tetrosomus reipublicae (smallspine turretfish). Its description in RNAcentral is "partial 12S rRNA". The record is from RNAcentral. Lineage: Eukaryota; Metazoa; Chordata; Actinopteri; Tetraodontiformes; Ostraciidae.
CACCGCGGUUAUACGAGAGGCCCAAGUUGUUAGUUACCGGCGUAAAGCGUGGUUAAAAUAAACAUAUAACUAAAGCCGAAAACCUUCAAGGCUGUUAUACGCAUCCGAAAGUAAAAAGACCAAUUACGAAAGUAGCUUUAUUUAUUUGAACCCACGAAAGCUGUGGCA